This 411-nucleotide long non-coding RNA is filed under the name Zea mays. RNAcentral's name for it is "long non-coding RNA (ZMAY_LNC003261)". The record is from RNAcentral. Lineage: Eukaryota; Viridiplantae; Streptophyta; Magnoliopsida; Poales; Poaceae.
UAGUUUUAAACAGCAAAGCAACAAACAAAUUAUAGUCUUGCCAACAAACGCAAAGAACAAUCUUGAUAGACUAACAUUUUCAACAGCUAAGAGAUAGAACAGAUGUGCUAAGAAGAAACAUCACUUUAGAACUAAGCAUGUCAAUUCAAAAUAAGAAACCUCCAGAUGUGCUAAGCAUCACCGAUUGAUCACCCAAACCUGUCCAAACAAAUGGAACAAUUAGAUUGGAAGAUAAAGGCCCAAGUGAAUAUGGUUGAGUGGAAGGUAAAGACACAAAUAUCAUACCUACUAAGCCAUCCCAUUUCUUAGCCAAAUCAAAGCUGAUUCUUGAUCCGCUUCACAUGCACAUAUGAAAGUCUCUCUAUUCUCUUUGCUCUUGUUGAAGACUGAAUAUGCUUUUGCCUUCUCCAG